Diachasmimorpha longicaudata is the source of this 1746-nucleotide long non-coding RNA. RefSeq lists it as uncharacterized. The transcript has 2 exons. Lineage: Eukaryota; Metazoa; Arthropoda; Insecta; Hymenoptera; Braconidae. The record is from RefSeq and is a predicted model, not a curated record.
UGAUUUAUUACGGUAAAGGUAUGGUGCCGUGGCUAGCUGACGUUUUCAGAGCCGGAUUGGGAUGGAGAACCAGACAGGUUGGGAAUAAUGUGAGAAGCAGUGCAGGGCACCUCCGCCAAUGGGAAAUCCCAGGGAGGAAUCACUGAAGCAAUUAUGUCAUUAAUCCUCGGAUUUUUGAUUGUGAUUGGAUUUUAUUCUGUGGAAAUAAGUGGAGAAUAAAAUGUAAUCACAUUUAAGGCCCCUUUGUUAUCGACUGAGUGAAAAGGCGGUGCCAUUGCGAAGUUGGAAAAAACUAGUCACUAAUAAAUUAUUAAUAUUGCAAUAUUUAUUUUCUUUUCUAAAUAAAUAAAAUAAGGCCCAUUCAAUGAAAAAUCACGUGAAUUCCUUCCAUUGCUUCAAAACUUAAAAAUAAUAAAACAGAUAUCACCUCCUCUUUACAAAAUAAAUUAAUACAGGCUGAUAAACAAAUGUGGGAGCUGCAGAAAAAUGUAAUCAAACGCACAUUUGAUUUCUUAUCACUUUUUUUAUUCCAUUUUCAUCUAGAAAUCAUGUUGAAUUGCAUUGUUUGUCAUAUAAUAAAUUGUAUACAUUAUAAUACGUGUACAGCCGACGGAGGAAAAAAAUAUCUAUUACAUCUAGGUGUCUAUAAAAUGCAUGAAAAUAAUGCAUCUGGUUUUAUUCUAAUAUCUUGUUAAUUCAUUAAUAAUUGAUAAUAACUAUUGGAUUACAGUAAUUCGUCGAGACACAUACGCGAGGAAGAGAUAUGCAAGAAGUGGUUAGAGGGUUGUUGUUGUUUUUUUUUUUUCAGGAGUAAUGGUUGGGAAGGGGACACGUGGAGCAGUCUCGGUAAUUAUCCAAUGGAUGUUCUCCUAUCGUUAAUGAGGACUAGUUCUUCAUAUAUUUUUUUUUCCAUUAUUUUUUCUUCGCUGGAAUUUUGUAAAAUACGUUUUAUGGUCUGAAGACUUGCAUACAUAAUUAUAUUGUCUUUACAGGGUCCGUAUUACAAAUGUUGUUUAUUUCAUUUUUUCCAUUGACACGCAUAAACAUCAUUGCUAUCAUGCAACUGUUGAAAAUGCAAAAAUUCUUAUGUUUCGAUUAAUCUCAGGGACACACUAACGUUAAAACCACUCAAUCCUUGUAUCAUUAAUCUAACAAAAUUACUCGACAUUAAAUCUCAAUAAUUUUCAAUUACUCCAACCAAAUAUUAAAUCUAUAAAAAACGAUUAAAAAUCGUAUAAUCCUCAAUGUUUACAACUUUAAAAACAUUUUUGAAAAUUUCAAUAAACAACACGUUGAUUGGUCUAAUAAUUUUACUAUCAAUCUCAUCGCUAUUGUGAGUGAGCUAACAUCAAUUUUUCAUUUGAGAUUCAUCGAUUUAUGUUUUCAUAAUUCAUCGGGAAAUUGAGGAGAAAAUAAUCUUAGAAUUAUUGAUAAUAGAACGAAAAAAAUUAUCAGUACCCAUCGUGUGUGACGCGGAAGGUCUCCUCAUGCUGAGUAUUUACAAAUGUAUUACCGUGGAAAUUGUCGAAAAAUUGUCUCACACUCUCAGUAAGGCAAAAAUCUAAAUUUAUGGUUUGUCAUUUUUCUUUCACUCGAUUUACCGUUUACACUAGUCAAAUAUUAUUAUUUUUUUUUAUUAUUUUCCAUUGAGUCAUUAAUAUUAAGUUUUAUGAAUUGAGAUGUUUCGAGAGGAACGAUGAUUUCCAGUGAGCUUCAAUGAGUGUCUACUCACAAGGCGAGUCCAAG